This 1169-nucleotide long non-coding RNA is filed under the name Phascolarctos cinereus (koala). Its description in RNAcentral is "lncRNA (ENSPCIG00000032263.1)". Lineage: Eukaryota; Metazoa; Chordata; Mammalia; Diprotodontia; Phascolarctidae. The record is from RNAcentral.
CAGACGGUGCGAGGCUCUGUCGGACCCCGUCAUGAUAGGUCAGAGCCAGGCAGGGCGUUUAGCCGGGGAGCUGUGUCUGCAAGGCUCGGCUAUGGCUCGCUCCCCAUCCCUGGGCCCCUCCACGCGUGCUGCUGAGCGAGGAGGAGAAAAUGCUGCUGCUGCUCGGGCCGGCCUGCCCCCUCCAGAUGCAUGUUACACAACCUCACCUGGACCCUCCGGCGGGCGGCCGGGAAGUCUGCUCCACCUCCGGCAUCCUGCAUCCCUCUCCGGGCAUCUCCUCCAAACCUUUCCUCCUCCAUCCAUCCCUUCCUCCAUCUCUCCAUCCAUCCGUCCAUCCCUCUUUUCUUCCUUCCUUCCCUCCCUCCCUCCAUCCCUCCAUCCAUCCCUCCAUCCCUCUUUUCUUCCUUUCCUCCCUCCCUCCAUCCUUCCAUCCCUCUUCUCCUUUCCUCCAUCCAUCCCUGCAUCCAUCUUUUCCUCCUGUCUUCCCUCCUUCCCUCCAUCCCUCCCUCCAUCCCUCCAUUCCUCUUCUCCUUUCCUCCUUUCCUCCCUCCAUCCCUCCAUCCAUCCCUGCAUCCCUCUUUUCUUCCUUUCCUCCCUCCCUCCCUCCGUCCCUCUUUUCCUCCCUCCCUCCAUCCCUCCAUCUCUCUUUUCCUCCUUUCCUCCCUCCCUCCCUUCAUCCCUCUUCUCCUUUCCUCCAUCCGUCCCUGCAUCCAUCUUUUCCUCCUUUCCUCCCUCCCUCACUCCAUCCCUCCAUCUCUCUUUUCCUUCUUUCCUCCCUCCCUCCCUGCAUCCCUCUUCUCCUCCUUUCCUCCCUCCAUCCCUCUUUUCCUCCCUCCCAUGCCCACUAACCCUGAGCCCUCCUCUUUCCUCCCUCUAUACUGCUUCACUUGGUGAUCUCAUCAGCUCGAAUGGAUUUAAUUAUCAUCUCUAUGCUGAUGGUUCUCAAAUCUAUUUAUCCAACCUUAACCUCUCCCCAGACUUUCAUCUCCAACUGCAGUUCAGACAUCUUGGAAUGGAUGUCCCUCAGGCAGCUUAAAACAGCGUGUCCACCAUUGGAUUGGUGAUCUUUUCUCCAAAAUGCUCCCCUAUCAUUGCUGGGGGGACCACCAGCCUUCCCUCCCCUAGGCUUACCAGCCAGGCGUUACCCACUCAUUAUAUCUCACUCUCCC